Long non-coding RNA from Hemibagrus wyckioides, 1742 nucleotides. RefSeq lists it as uncharacterized. Lineage: Eukaryota; Metazoa; Chordata; Actinopteri; Siluriformes; Bagridae. The record is from RefSeq and is a predicted model, not a curated record. The transcript is spliced from 3 exons.
AAGAGAUUGCUUACGUGUUGACACACUCGGCAGAAAUCAGAGCCGUCGGAUUUGUCAUGUAUGACUGUGUAGCUGACACAUUAUGAGCUCUCCUCGCUCUCUCUCUCUUUCUCUCUCUCUCUUUCUCUCUCUUUCUCUUUCUCUCUCUCUCACACGCGCACACACACACAAUCACAAUAGCAGACCAUGCUCAGAGAGAGAGGAUGACAGUCCAAGAAGCUCAGUCAUUCUGGUGCUCACUGGAUAACUUUCUCUUUCGCUCUCUCUCAUCCAUCUACAGCCUCUUUCUCUUUCCUUUUCGGUAUUUCUCAGAAGGCAGCCAGGCUCCGGGAUAGACGGACACGCAGGAUAGACGCCGUAACUAGAGCCUAAUUAGUGGACUCGAAGCAGGUGCUCUGUCGAAUCAGACAGAAAAGGAUUCUCCGGCGGGACGGCUGACCCGCUGAGCUUCAUGAACACAACCAGAAGUCGAUCCGUAUUUGGACGGAAGAUUGGAAGGCGGCCCUGAACGAAUCGAUUUGGUCCUGCUGAGGUCAUACAAGAUACAGAUCACCCCUCCCUCUGCUCUCUGUUUACCACCUGACUUCCACUGCACAGACAGAAACUCUUGGCUGUGUGGGCAUGAAGCAUAAAGUGUGGUUCUGUCAGGGCAGUCAGAGGGGAAAACACUAACCCGGGCAAACGGCGGCCCUCCAGGAGUCACGUCAUUCCAGCACUCGCUCAGAGGGAGUGAAAAAGGAAAGUGUUUACCCAUCCUUGCUGGAAACCUGGAUGGCUAUGUGGAAAGAGGCACAGAGAGGUUAUAUAAACGCCAGCUGAACCAUCCAAGCAAGCUGAAAAGGAGGAAGCAGGAAGCAGCUGAUGCUAUCACUGGUAGUGAUUUUUGAGCAUGUGUCUAUGAAUGUGUCUUUUUUUUGUUGUUGUUGUUGUUUUUGUGUCACUUCCUGGGAGAGAAUAGAAGAGGAAGUGGAGUGACUGGGUGAAGGGAAUGAUACUUCCAUGGUGUGCUUUUCAUACACGCGUACUCGCAAAGACUUAUUUGAAGCGUAGGACGUGUGUGUGUGUGUGUGUGAGUGCAAAUGUCUAUUUGUAUUCGCACAACCAGUGCCUUCUCUGAUUUAUCGCUGAAACACUGCCCCCUUGUGUUUAUACACAGAACUGCAUGCUGCCUUGCAGUAGCAAGGGUUUUUUUUAAAAAAUAUAGUGGCAGCAAAUAAAUAUUUCUAGAUUAAAAUAGCAUUAUAGUUCGAUUUAUUGGCUUCAAAGUUGCUCUGUAGUUUAUAAUACUGAAAUGAUUCAUUAAGAGUGAUUUGAGGUUAGUGUUGGGGUGAAACUGAGGGUGGCAUAACGUAUUUCAGUGCCACACCUGUGGUCACAAACAUGCAUUCAUGCAUCAGUUUGACAGUUUACACCGGGGUAGUCGACAUCUUCGGUUCAACCCAUAGUCCAAAAUAACUCUCCUCAUUACCGUAUCUGACUUAUCUACUGUUUAUUCCCAAAUGCAGUUACUAAUUUAUCCGCCAGACGUUUUUACAGACAUGUAACAUGGCAUCGUUCCACAAGCUCAGUAAAGCACGCGGUCACAAAUGAAUUCAUCCCAGGAAUCAGGUCAUACUCAUUAAGCUUUCAGCACACUUAGUACUGUUUGUCUGGACUCUUCUCCACCUGUAUAAUGAUGUCAACCUAGAAGAAAACGGGCUCGUAUUCGAGUCUGCUUUCUCUCAAGGUUUUCUUUUUUUUUU